CAGCUGCACAACGAGAUGAGGCUGGUCAUUGUCAUUUUCUGAGCUGUGAACGGGCAGGAAGCUGCACAACGGGAUGAGGCUGGUCAUUGUCAUUUUCUGAGCUGUGAACGGGCAGGAAGCUGCACAACGGGAUGAGGCUGGUCAUUGUAAUUUUCUGAGCUGUGAACGGGC
Long non-coding RNA from Sycon ciliatum, 171 nucleotides. RefSeq lists it as uncharacterized. The transcript is spliced from 3 exons. The record is from RefSeq and is a predicted model, not a curated record. Lineage: Eukaryota; Metazoa; Porifera; Calcarea; Leucosolenida; Sycettidae.